AUUGAACGCUGGCGGCAGGCCUAACACAUGCAAGUCGAGCGGAUGAAGGGAGCUUGCUCCUGGAUUCAGCGGCGGACGGGUGAGUAAUGCCUAGGAAUCUGCCUGGUAGUGGGGGAUAACGUCCGGAAACGGGCGCUAAUACCGCAUACGUCCUGAGGGAGAAAGUGGGGGAUCUUCGGACCUCACGCUAUCAGAUGAGCCUAGGUCGGAUUAGCUAGUUGGUGGGGUAAAGGCCUACCAAGGCGACGAUCCGUAACUGGUCUGAGAGGAUGAUCAGUCACACUGGAACUGAGACACGGUCCAGACUCCUACGGGAGGCAGCAGUGGAAUCUUGGACAAUGGGCGAAAGCCUGAUCCAGCCAUGCCGCGUGUGUGAAGAAGGUCUUCGGAUUGUAAAGCACUUUAAGUUGGGAGGAAGGGCAGUAAGUUAAUACCUUGCUGUUUUGACGUUACCAACAGAAUAAGCACCGGCUAACUUCGUG
RNAcentral lists this ribosomal RNA (482 nucleotides) under uncultured bacterium. RNAcentral's name for it is "partial 16S ribosomal RNA". It matches the Rfam family "Bacterial small subunit ribosomal RNA", at positions 30 to 507 of the family's 1533-position model. The record is from RNAcentral.